UUAAGCGACUAAGCGUACACGGUGGAUGCCCUGGCAGUCAGAGGCGAUGAAGGACGUGCUAAUCUGCGAUAAGCGUCGGUGAGGUGAUAUGAACCGUUAUAACCGGCGAUUUCCGAAUGGGGAAACCCAGUGUGUUUCGACACACUAUCAUUAACUGAAUCCAUAGGUUAAUGAGGCGAACCGGGGGAACUGAAACAUCUAAGUACCCCGAGGAAAAGAAAUCAACCGAGAUUCCCCCAGUAGCGGCGAGCGAACGGGGAGGAGCCCAGAGCCUGAAUCAGUGUGUGUGUUAGUGGAAGCGUCUGGAAAGGCGUGCGAUACAGGGUGACAGCCCCGUACACAAAAAUGCACAUAUUGUGAGCUCGAUGAGUAGGGCGGGACACGUGGUAUCCUGUCUGAAUAUGGGGGGACCAUCCUCCAAGGCUAAAUACUCCUGACUGACCGAUAGUGAACCAGUACCGUGAGGGAAAGGCGAAAAGAACCCCGGCGAGGGGAGUGAAAAAGAACCUGAAACCGUGUACGUACAAGCAGUGGGAGCCUCUUAAUGGGGUGACUGCGUACCUUUUGUAUAAUGGGUCAGCGACUUAUAUUCUGUAGCAAGGUUAACCGAAUAGGGGAGCCGAAGGGAAACCGAGUCUUAACUGGGCGUUAAGUUGCAGGGUAUAGACCCGAAACCCGGUGAUCUAGCCAUGGGCAGGUUGAAGGUUGGGUAACACUAACUGGAGGACCGAACCGACUAAUGUUGAAAAAUUAGCGGAUGACUUGUGGCUGGGGGUGAAAGGCCAAUCAAACCGGGAGAUAGCUGGUUCUCCCCGAAAGCUAUUUAGGUAGCGCCUCGUGAAUUCAUCUCCGGGGGUAGAGCACUGUUUCGGCAAGGGGGUCAUCCCGACUUACCAACCCGAUGCAAACUGCGAAUACCGGAGAAUGUUAUCACGGGAGACACACGGCGGGUGCUAACGUCCGUCGUGAAGAGGGAAACAACCCAGACCGCCAGCUAAGGUCCCAAAGUCAUGGUUAAGUGGGAAACGAUGUGGGAAGGCCCAGACAGCCAGGAUGUUGGCUUAGAAGCAGCCAUCAUUUAAAGAAAGCGUAAUAGCUCACUGGUCGAGUCGGCCUGCGCGGAAGAUGUAACGGGGCUAAACCAUGCACCGAAGCUGCGGCAGCGACACUAUGUGUUGUUGGGUAGGGGAGCGUUCUGUAAGCCUGUGAAGGUGGCCUGUGAGGGUUGCUGGAGGUAUCAGAAGUGCGAAUGCUGACAUAAGUAACGAUAAAGCGGGUGAAAAGCCCGCUCGCCGGAAGACCAAGGGUUCCUGUCCAACGUUAAUCGGGGCAGGGUGAGUCGACCCCUAAGGCGAGGCCGAAAGGCGUAGUCGAUGGGAAACAGGUUAAUAUUCCUGUACUUGGUGUUACUGCGAAGGGGGGACGGAGAAGGCUAUGUUGGCCGGGCGACGGUUGUCCCGGUUUAAGCGUGUAGGCUGGUUUUCCAGGCAAAUCCGGAAAACCAAGGCUGAGGCGUGAUGACGAGGCACUACGGUGCUGAAGCGACAAAUGCCCUGCUUCCAGGAAAAGCCUCUAAGCAUCAGGUAACAUCAAAUCGUACCCCAAACCGACACAGGUGGUCAGGUAGAGAAUACCAAGGCGCUUGAGAGAACUCGGGUGAAGGAACUAGGCAAAAUGGUGCCGUAACUUCGGGAGAAGGCACGCUGAUAUGUAGGUGAAGCGACUUGCUCGUGGAGCUGAAAUCAGUCGAAGAUACCAGCUGGCUGCAACUGUUUAUUAAAAACACAGCACUGUGCAAACACGAAAGUGGACGUAUACGGUGUGACGCCUGCCCGGUGCCGGAAGGUUAAUUGAUGGGGUUAGCGGCAACGCGAAGCUCUUGAUCGAAGCCCCGGUAAACGGCGGCCGUAACUAUAACGGUCCUAAGGUAGCGAAAUUCCUUGUCGGGUAAGUUCCGACCUGCACGAAUGGCGUAAUGAUGGCCAGGCUGUCUCCACCCGAGACUCAGUGAAAUUGAACUCGCUGUGAAGAUGCAGUGUACCCGCGGCAAGACGGAAAGACCCCGUGAACCUUUACUAUAGCUUGACACUGAACAUUGAGCCUUGAUGUGUAGGAUAGGUGGGAGGCUUUGAAGUGUGGACGCCAGUCUGCAUGGAGCCGACCUUGAAAUACCACCCUUUAAUGUUUGAUGUUCUAACGUUGGCCCGUAAUCCGGGUUGCGGACAGUGUCUGGUGGGUAGUUUGACUGGGGCGGUCUCCUCCUAAAGAGUAACGGAGGAGCACGAAGGUUGGCUAAUCCUGGUCGGACAUCAGGAGGUUAGUGCAAUGGCAUAAGCCAGCUUGACUGCGAGCGUGACGGCGCGAGCAGGUGCGAAAGCAGGUCAUAGUGAUCCGGUGGUUCUGAAUGGAAGGGCCAUCGCUCAACGGAUAAAAGGUACUCCGGGGAUAACAGGCUGAUACCGCCCAAGAGUUCAUAUCGACGGCGGUGUUUGGCACCUCGAUGUCGGCUCAUCACAUCCUGGGGCUGAAGUAGGUCCCAAGGGUAUGGCUGUUCGCCAUUUAAAGUGGUACGCGAGCUGGGUUUAGAACGUCGUGAGACAGUUCGGUCCCUAUCUGCCGUGGGCGCUGGAGAACUGAGGGGGGCUGCUCCUAGUACGAGAGGACCGGAGUGGACGCAUCACUGGUGUUCGGGUUGUCAUGCCAAUGGCACUGCCCGGUAGCUAAAUGCGGAAGAGAUAAGUGCUGAAAGCAUCUAAGCACGAAACUUGCCCCGAGAUGAGUUCUCCCUGACUCCUUGAGAGUCCUGAAGGAACGUUGAAGACGACGACGUU
This 2831-nucleotide ribosomal RNA is filed under the name Escherichia coli. RNAcentral describes it as "bacterial LSU rRNA". It matches the Rfam family "Bacterial large subunit ribosomal RNA". The record is from RNAcentral. Lineage: Bacteria; Pseudomonadati; Pseudomonadota; Gammaproteobacteria; Enterobacterales; Enterobacteriaceae.